CAAAUUAAAGCUUUGGUAGUUAAGCAUUUCAUUUACACUGAAAAGAUUGUCGUGCAAAUCGAUUUAAUUUGA
RNAcentral lists this transfer RNA (72 nucleotides) under Austrogymnocnemia maculata. RNAcentral describes it as "tRNA-Val". It matches the Rfam family "tRNA". From Rfam's summary of the family: Transfer RNA (tRNA) molecules are approximately 80 nucleotides in length. Their secondary structure includes four short double-helical elements and three loops (D, anti-codon, and T loops). Further hydrogen bonds mediate the characteristic L-shaped molecular structure. tRNAs have two regions of fundamental functional importance: the anti-codon, which is responsible for specific mRNA codon recognition, and the 3' end, to which the tRNAs corresponding amino acid is attached (by aminoacyl-tRNA synthetases). tRNAs cope with the degeneracy of the genetic code in two manners: having more than one tRNA (with a specific anti-codon) for a particular amino acid; and 'wobble' base-pairing, i.e. permitting non-standard base-pairing at the 3rd anti-codon position. The record is from RNAcentral. Lineage: Eukaryota; Metazoa; Arthropoda; Insecta; Neuroptera; Myrmeleontidae.